GGGGACCAUCCUCCAAGGCUAAAUACUCCUGACUGACCGAUAGUGAACCAGUACCGUGAGGGAAAGGCGAAAAGAACCCCGGCGAGGGGAGUGAAAAAGAACCUGAAACCGUGUACGUACAAGCAGUGGGAGCACGCUUAGGCGUGUGACUGCGUACCUUUUGUAUAAUGGGUCAGCGACUUAUAUUCUGUAGCAAGGUUAACCGAAUAGGGGAGCCGAAGGGAAACCGAGUCUUAACUGGGCGUUAAGUUGCAGGGUAUAGACCCGAAACCCGGUGAUCUAGCCAUGGGCAGGUUGAAGGUUGGGUAACACUAACUGGAGGACCGAACCGACUAAUGUUGAAAAAUUAGCGGAUGACUUGUGGCUGGGGGUGAAAGGCCAAUCAAACCGGGAGAUAGCUGGUUCUCCCCGAAAGCUAUUUAGGUAGCGCCUCGUGAAUUCAUCUCCGGGGGUAGAGCACUGUUUCGGCA
RNAcentral lists this ribosomal RNA (470 nucleotides) under Shigella sonnei. RNAcentral's name for it is "partial 23S ribosomal RNA". It matches the Rfam family "Bacterial large subunit ribosomal RNA", at positions 448 to 920 of the family's 2925-position model. The record is from RNAcentral. Lineage: Bacteria; Pseudomonadati; Pseudomonadota; Gammaproteobacteria; Enterobacterales; Enterobacteriaceae.